AUUGAACGCUGGCGGCGUGCCUAACACAUGCAAGUCGAGCGGUAGCAGGCGUAGCAAUACGUGCUGACGAGCGGCGAACGGGUGAGCAAUGCUUCGGAAUCUGCCCAAUGGUGGGGAAUAACCAGCCGAAAGGUUGGCUAAUACCGCAUACGCCUACGGGGAAGGCAGGGGAGUCGCAAGACCUUGCGCCGAUGGAUGAGCCGAAGUCGGAUUAGCUAGUUGGUAGGGUAACGGCCUACCAAGGCGACGAUCCGUAGCUGGUCUGAGAGGACGACCAGCCACACUGGGACUGAGACACGGCCCAGACUCCUACGGGAGGCAGCAGUGGGGAAUAUUGGACAAUGGGCGAAAGCCUGAUCCAGCGACGCCGCGUGUGUGAAGAAGGCCUGCGGGUUGUAAAGCACUUUUAGUGGGGAAGAACAGAUUCGGGUCAAUACCCCGGAGCCCUGACGUUACCCACAGAAGAAGCACCGGCUAACUCCGUGCCAGCAGCCGCGGUAAAG
Molecule: ribosomal RNA, 503 nt
Filed under: uncultured bacterium
Lineage: Bacteria
Description: bacterial SSU rRNA
Rfam family: Bacterial small subunit ribosomal RNA
Source: RNAcentral